CUGAGGAGCUGCUUGGGAAAAAGGAUGACUGAAGGGGCUGGCAGCCAUUUUAUAACUUUGGAGGCCUACCAAAAUGGACUGAGGGGGGAAACUUCAUUUUAAUUUUGAUAUUUAAUUUUCUUUACCUCACUUUUGUAAUCACUUUUGAGUUUGUGUUAAGUUAAAAUUAUUUUUGUUUUAUUUUGGGUUUUUACUUUUGUUGUUAAAUUAGUAGUUUUUUUCUUAAAUCGGAAG
Molecule: long non-coding RNA, 234 nt
Organism: Thalassophryne amazonica
Lineage: Eukaryota; Metazoa; Chordata; Actinopteri; Batrachoidiformes; Batrachoididae
Exons: 3
Source: RefSeq, a predicted model, not a curated record